This 13421-nucleotide long non-coding RNA is filed under the name Gossypium raimondii (Peruvian cotton). RNAcentral's name for it is "long non-coding RNA (GRAI_LNC007870)". Lineage: Eukaryota; Viridiplantae; Streptophyta; Magnoliopsida; Malvales; Malvaceae. The record is from RNAcentral.
CUGACCAUGGAGUUGAUUUUCAGAAAUAUUGAAGGACGAAAGAAAUGGCAGAUCUGCCAAUCUAUUUGGAAUCGUCCCAGACAACCUGUUUGAAGAUAGGUCCAACCAUUCAAGAUUUGUCAAAUUCCCUAUUGAAGUGGGGAUACCACCAUUAAGGUUAUUGUGAGAAAGGUUGAGCCCUUUCAGUAAGUUAAGCUUCCCAAUAACCUUUGGAAUCUCUCCUUCAAACUGAUUGUUUGAUAGAUCAAUGAUCAUCCACAUGGUGAAAAUUUUCACCAAUUCCAUAUAUUUUCCUUUCAUAAUAAUUCCAAUAGAAUAGGCAUAGAAGCCGCUAGUAUAAUCUCCCACACCCAUGUAUGGCCUUGCACUACCUUUUUUCUUGAGAUUUAUGAUAGCCUUGAAGCUGUUGAUGUAUCUCACUGGUAGGGGUCCAGAAAAAUAGUUACUUGAGAGGUCAAAAUUUUGGAUUUUAGAGAAGAAAGGGCUAGACUUGGGGCUAUUGACACGCAAAGAACCAUGCAUAUGAUUAGACUUCAAUACAAGAACUUGCAAAUAUGGAAGACUUCCCAACCAAUGAGGAAAUGUAUCAUUGAUCUUGUUGUUACCAAGAUCUAGCACUUCCAGACCUCUACAAUUAAGGAUGGAUGGUGUCAAUGGCCCUUCUAACAAAUUUCCAUUUAAGUUGAAAUUACUCAAUUGGCAUCCCUCUGCAAAUGUUGGAGGAAUCGUCCCAUAAAACUUGUUCUUCUUCAGAUUUAAGAAUUCAAGGCUGUUGCUCAAAUUUCCAAAACAUUGCGGAAUUGUUCCACUCAAGUUAUUGUGGGACAAAUCAAGAAUAAGAAGAGAAGUGACAUUGCAGAUUAAAGAAGAGACCUCUCCAUUGAAACUAUUAUUUGAGAUCAGAAAGACAUUGAUGGUCGAAGCUGGAAUCGGAAGAUUUCCACGGAUCAAAUUGGAGCUUAAGUCAAGAACUUCAAUAUUCUUCCAUGGAAAGUGCUCAACUUCUGUCAAAGAGUUGUGAGAUACGUUUAAGUAAGCCAAAGAGCCUUUCCCCACCUCUUGCAUCCACUGUGGAAUCUUGCCUUCAAUUUUGUUGCAAGAGAGGUCUAAGCGUUUCAAACUUUUAAGCCCUUCCAAAAAUUGGGGGAAUUCACUAAGAUUGCAAGAUGACAAACGUAAGUCCAUAAGAUUAGGCAAUAUAUGGUUAACACAAGAAGUAGUAUUAGAUGUUAAGGAUAGGCUAUUAUAUGAAAGGUCGAGAAGUUUUAGAGUUGGAAGGUUUGAGAACAUGCGAAACUCUAUGACACCACUAAGAUUAUUUGAGGAUAAAACGAGGCGGGUAAGAUUGAGAAGUUGGAAUAUAGAAGAUGGAAGAGGACCUUGGAGUUUAUUAUCGUUUAACCUUAUGAAUUCUAGUGAUUUGGAUUGGAAUUCUUUGAUAUGCCCACUGAAUUGAUUUUGAGAGAGAGAUAUUGUCUUUAAGGAGGGUGCAGUAUACAACCAUGACGGAAGUGUUCCGUUGAGUAAAUUGUCAAAUAAGUAUAAAUAUAUUAGAUUAGGAAAAGCGGUUACCUCAUCUGGAAUGGAACCUUCUAAAGAAUUAUUAUAUAUUCCCAAGUAUUCCAGCUGCGUUAGGUUUAGAAUUGAGAAUGGAAUUUGUCCACUCAAUUUGUUCCCGGACAAGUCUAAAUAAGUGAGUUGCAAGAGGUUCCCCAAUGAUCUUAGAAUUUGUCCACUCAGUUGGUUCCACGACAAGUCUAAAUGAGUGAGUUGCAAGAGGUUUCCCAAUGAUCUUGGAACCGUUUCUGAUAAGUUGGAAUUGGAGAGAUCUAAAAACUUCAAGGACACAAGAUUCCCCAUCGAGUCAGGCAAUCCUCCAAAAACAUUUGCUACUGAAAUUAUCAAUUGCUCCAAAGAUGAUAAAUUUGUGAUUGAGACAGACAAUCCUUGAAAGAAAGAAUUUUGUGAUAGAUCUAAGUACUUUAAGGCCGGUAGAUUGUCAACUGAAUCAAUGAAUUCUGUAGAGAAGGACAUGAAAGACAGAUCCAAAUGUUCAAGAUUGCUGCUCCGAUUCAACUUCAAAGGAUCAAGAUUGAGGUUUUGGUUGCCUCCCAAGUUGAGGAGAUUGAGGUUUGGCAAGUCAAAAAUGUUUUUUGGGAACUUUCCUUGCAAAUCACAAUAAGCAAGACUGAGAGACCUUAGAGAAGAGGAUAGAUUCAUGAAGACAUGAGCAUUAACAGAAGACAUGUCCAUUCCAUCCAAAAACAGAUGUCUGACCUCGGUUAGGUUGUGAACAAGUCCCUCCAGAGCAUGUUUGUCAAUUGUUUGCUCAUCAUCCCAAGAGGAGAGAUCAAGUGAAACCAAUUUUGACAGGCGGGAGACUUGGGAUGGGACUUCUCCUGCAAACCCUGUAUAAGAAAGGUUGAGGUAGAAUAGGCUUGUAAAGCGACCGAACUCGGAUGGAAUUUUGGAAAGAUUAAAAUCAUUGAAGGCAAGGUUGAGUUUUUGAAGGUGAGGAAGAAGGAAGAGAGUGGUAUUGGAAGGGAAGGUGCAAUAUAGCCAACUGCAGCUCAAGUCAAGGGCAAUAACAUGAGCAUUUAGGUGGUCACAAGUGACCCCAUCCCAUGAGCAGCAAUCUGUACCCUCCUUCCAUGAAUUUGUCUUGGGAUAAGAUUUAAGGCCAGCAAAAUCAUUGCAAUAAGAAGAAGCAUCCUCUAUUAUGGAAAAAGAGUUCUUGAACUGGAUUAAUGAAGAGCAGGAGUGAGAUCCUAAAGAAGAAAAAGAAGCAUAAAGAUGGGGAAAGAAGAGGAAGAGGCAGAGAAAGAGAUAGGAGGCCAUGUUAUGUUGGUAGAGGAAGAUGAAGGAUAGGAAUGGUAUUUAUAGGCAACAAAUAAUACCACAACAUUGGUGUUACAGUCUUUCUUUUCUUUUACAUUGAAAAGCUAUGGAUAUUAGAUUUUCAAAAUUUUUGUAUUUUUCACAAUCAUCAACAACCACUUAGUCCUUUUAUCAUAUAUUUUUCAUUCUUAAAAUUAGAUAUUAGAUUUUCAAAAUAUUUGUAUUUUUCAUUUGAACUCUCUAAACAACUCAAAAAAUUAAGAUUAACUUAGUCUUUUUUCUUAUAACACUUAAAGAAUGUGUGUAAUCUAUUCACAGGUUAACCAAAGCUAAGUAAUGUGGAAAUUCUUUUUCACACGAAAGAACAAAAUUGUGCUCUAUUCACUACGUUUGAGGAAGAAGACUGUUGGAAAUUUUAUUCACCGAUUCCAUAAAUUAAAACGUGUAUACUUAUAUAUAUAUAUUUAUAACCUCAUAAUUCAAAUCUAAAAUCUUAUUUGUUAUAAAUUCUAAUAAAUUUAUUUGGGAAUAGUUAUUUUUCAUUCGUUAAUUAUUUCUCUUUUAAUCAAGUAAAAAAUUAAAACUAAAAAGACAUAAUGAUUACUUUUACCCUUGAAACUUAUAUGGUUCGUUAAAUCACCCAUUGAUGACAUAUUAACCUUUGAGUUAAACUCAAAUUGCUCUUUCCUUUGUUAUAAAUUAAGAGUAUAACUAAUUUUGAUAAGAAUGGUUACUUUUCAUUAACACAGUUUAAAGGACCAUAACACGUAAACUUUGGUCUAUUGCAGAAUUCACAUGCAAUGCAGGACAUUUACAUUAUGCAGAAUUCAACACAUAUAUGGGAAUUUUUGUAUUUCCACAAUCAUCAUGUUUUUAGUGAUCAACAACUACUUCCUUUUUACCAUAUAUUUUUCAUUCAUAAAAUUGAUUACUUCUUUUUACCAAAGAAGUAAAAUAAUUAACAUUCCUGAGAUUACAAAGUCUUCUUCCUUAUAACACGUCAAAUUUGGUCCCAAAUAAAUUUCCACACAAAAUUAAGAAUACACAAAGGCAGGAUGAAUUAUUCCAUGUUUGAACAUCUGCAACAUAAAUGCAUAUGGCAAAAAGGCUCAAACCAUACCUUAAGUUCAUGAAUUCUCAUCAUCACAUGUUUAUAAAUGCAACUCAAACUUGAAUAAUUGAAUCUUUUGUAAUUCUACAUGUAUUUGUUUUUUUUUAUGGUGAGCAGUAUAAUGUUUACUAAAAAUUGAAAUUCAAGAAAGAAGACAUACAUAGUUGCACCAUUCAAGAUAAACUUACCUCGAGUAUUGAUACUCGGGUUGAAGUAUCGAUACCAAAUCUUUUUUAUCAUAUAUUUUUCAUUCACAAAAUUGGAUACAUUUUUUUACCAAAAUUUUGUAUUUCAUUUGAAUUCCCUAAACAACUGAGAAAAUUAAAAUUGAUGAGAUUAUAAAGUAGAUUGACUUAAUCUUCUUCCUUAUAAUACGUAAAGAAUGUGAGUGUCUAUUUACUUAGUAUGUAUGGCUGUCAAGCAAUGUAGAAAUUUGCACACAAAAGAACAAAUUUGUGGACUACUUAAAAAUUCAAAGCAUGUGUGGCCAAUAUUCAUUUAUUUUAUUGCAUAAAAUUCAAGGCAUGUGUGUUGAAUAAUUUUAUCCAAGAAGCAUAUUUUCCACAAAACUUUAAUCGGUUGGCAUUAAAUAUGUCAUUUUCUAUUAACUGCAAGAAAACUAUCCGGUAAACUACAUCUUCUUCUUUUAGAUAAAAUUUUGUAAAAAAAAAUUUGACAUUAUCACUUAUAUAGUUAUAUGGUCCUUCAAUUUUAUUUUUUUUAAAAAAAAAAGUAAUUUUAACUCUCCAUUUAAUAUUUCACCUCUUUGAGUUUUUAAAUUUGUGUUAUUUAUCAAAUCAUCCCAGAAUGUAUGAAAAAGUUAACAUUUGUUAACUUUAUUGACGGAACAUACAUAUCGAUAUCAUAUAAACAAUUAAUUGAUUUUUAAAUUUUAAAAAUUUUAAAAAUAAAACAUAUAUUAAAAUUUCUAAGAAAUGAGAAAAUUUGGAAGCAUUGCAAAAGAAUGUGCAAUAAUUCCAAACAAAUUAACGCAACAUUUUAGUUACCACUUAUAUAGUCCUUCAAUUUUAUUUAAAAAAAAUUAUUUUAACUCUGCAUUUAAUUUUUCGCCUCUUUAAACUUUUAAUUUGUGUUAUUUAUCAAAUCUUCCAAACAAAUUAACGCCGUAAUAACCCAUUUUUCCCGGCCCAUAAUUAACCAAAUUAAAAAAAACGAAAUAUAAAAUUUUAAUAACAGUCCACUACAAACACAAUAAGUAGCAGGCCCAAAACCCAAAUGCACUACCUAAUUACAAACCCAACUAAACCCUAACCCAAUACAAACCCCAAAAGCCCAGCUUGCAGCCCACAACACUAAAAACAAUAGAAACCCUAGCAACAGUUUCAGCCGCCGCAACAGUGGCCCCAGCGCUGCAGACUGUCCUCCGCGCGUGUCAAGCCUCCGCGCGCGUGCGCCUCCAAGCUAGCAUGUACCUGCAACGAACAAUAAACAGCAAGCAGCAAGAGAGGCAAAAUAACAGAUUGAUAGCUAAAAAAUAAAGAGUUUUUUUGUAUUUUUUCUUUUUUUCAUUUUUCGGUUAUAUAAAGCCACUUGUGAUACUGUAAAAGGGAUUACGCAUUCGAAAGAAAAAAAAAAGAAUCAAAUAGCAGCAUAAUUUUAAGGUGGUUUCCGAUUUCUACUUCUUUUUUUUUCUUUUUCCUUUGAUUUGUUUUUAUUUGUUGAUUAAAAGAUAAAAAAAAGGGAAGUUCUUACCUACAUAUUGCGCCGCCAGGAGCCUUCGUCCCUUCUGUUUCAAAUCGAAAUGGGGUGGGCAAUGGUCGAAUCAAAAGCGGCGCACAUAGGAUAGAUUUUAGGGUUGGUUAGAUUUUUUUUUUUUAGAAAUGGAGUGUCUGCUAAUGUUAACUUAUAUAUAGCGUAUGAAACGACGACAUUUGAUGCCAUUUUAGUGGUUUCAAAAUGGCGUCGUAUAGGGCCGAGAUCCGUGCGGUGACCCGACCCGGGGAGGAUCCGCGUGUUUUCACUUUGGUGGGAUAUUUGUGCGCUAGGUUCUCUACCUUUGCACUUUGUUUUAAUUCGGUUUAUUUUGAUUCUUCAAAUUGGGCUGCAUAAUUUCCUGCUGACUACAUUUUAGUCCAUUUGCAGCGGUGCGUUUUGGUGGGCAAGGAAUAUUUCCUAUUUUAGUCCCCAUGUUAUUCGCGGUUUGUAAUUUGGUCCUUUCCUUUUAUAUAUAUAAUAAUUUUAUAUAAUACUAUUUUAUAUAUAUAUAAUUUGUAUUAAGUUUUUUAUAUAUCAUCGAUUUCAUAUUUACGUAUUUUUCUACUUAUUUCAUAUAUAAUCUGUUUCAUUUAAAACUUUACUUUAUUAUAUACUUGAUUUAUAUCAACCUUUUAUACAUACUAUUAUACGUAUACGUAUAUUGUUUAUUUUAAAUUAAUAUGUAUAUAUUAUUUCAUGUAUUUCGGUUUUCUUCAUAUACAAUAUUCACUUUAAAAUUCAUUUUAAUAUUAUUUUUUUCGUAGUAUUUAUUUUUUAUCUUCAUUUUUGACUUAUUUCAAACUCAUAUAUGUAUAUCUAUUAUCUUUGCUAAUGUGCAUACAUAUGCAACUUCAUUUAAAUAUAAAAAAUCUAAAAAUAAUUAAAUAUGUAUAAAUCUAAAAAUAUCUUAAAAUUAAAACUAAAAAAUUUUAAACUAAUGCAAAUUUUUAUUAUUUAAAAAAUCUUAAAAUUUUCAAAUUAAAUUCCAUUUGUUUUCCACCGUUGAAGAACACCUUCAAUCACAUUAACAACUUCAUGCUAUUUUGCCUAGAAAUUAUUUUGCAAAUUUAUUUUGUUUUAUUUAUUUCUAAAUCCAUAUUUCUUUUCUGUAACUCCAAUUAUUAGAUUGUUUAGGGUUUUGAGUAACUUUCGAUUUUGGAAUUUUAGAUUUUUAAAUUUAAAUACGAAGUGCUCUUCUUCUUCUCCAAACCCACAAAUUUUCUACCAAAUUUCAACUCAAGGUUUUACUUUCAGCUAUAAAUAAAACAUAUAUUAUAUUUAUAAUGACCUAAGAAUAGUAGAGUCGACGCCGAUCUACAUGAAAAAGGAGGGAAAAAAACAGGCAAAGAAAGAUGAUAUGAAGAGAGCAUAAAUCAAUAAAGCAAAUGAAAAACGAGUAGAAUUAAAGUAAAUGGGUAUUUAAUAUUUUUUUGUGAAAGUUCAAAGACUAAUUAUGUAUGAGCUUGGAUGUGGAAAAAUUAGUUGGAAAUUUUUUUUCUUGCACCAAUUGAUUUUUUUUAUAUAGAAUUUGUAUUUAUUUUUUAAGAUUUUUAAAUUUUGUUACAAUUAUUUUUAUGAAAAUUUGAAAAUAUAAAAAUACUUUUUGAACUAUAAUUCAAGGAUUAAAUUAGCUAUUAAUCAUUUGAAUAAAUAAAACAUAUACAUGAAUUAAGUAAUUAAUCCACAAGCAAUGUUGGACAUUUUCAUAAUGCCAAAUUUCACUUCAGAUUUAGUUACCCAUAAUCAUAUUUAAACAAACAAAAACAUAACAAUCACACAAAAUAGGCAUAACUAGAAAACAUGAGAAAAAUGAGAAAAGCUUGAAAACAAUUACAAUGGUAGCAAAGGAAAUGUAAAAAAAAAAACUUAAAAAUCAGAUUUUUAAUGAUGAAGGGAAUUGAUCAUUUAUAUUAAAACCAAGGAUUAAACUGAAAAUACAAAGAGUUGAAGGUACUAAACUAGCAAACAAACCCUAGCUGCAAUGUUAAUUAACUUAACUAACUACUAUUGGAACCAAGAAAAACUAAAAGAAAACAUGAAUUACACCCUAGAGUUAUGGAGAAGAAAACAAAAACUCUAAAAAUAAAGAGGAAAUUUGAAAACCAUGAAAUGUUAAGUGUGCCUUUUGUUCAGCCAAUUUUUUGCCCUUUCUAGAAUUACAGAUCCAAAAAUAGUGGCCAAAUUGUCCUUGAUCGUUUAAUUUUGGUUAGGGGACAUGUUGGAAACGGAUUACCCAUACGGUUAUAUUUUGUCUCCUCUCAUCAAUGAUAUUGCCAUACCCAAAGUUUGGUAUCGCGAUAUCCACAACAAUCUUGGGGAUCCUUAGGAGUUUUGAGUAUCGCGAUACCUUAUGACUGGUAUCAUGAUAGCACUGUUGAUGGCUCAAUCUUCCUUGUUUUUAACAUUGUUAUGGGUGUUACGACUUUCAAUCUUCCUUAUUUUUAACAUUGUUAUGCAAUACCCUCUUUCUAGGUGACAUUUUCGCUCCUUCCGGGUCACCAUGGGCUCUCUGCAUCACUCACCAAUCACAUUAGAUUCCCCGGGUGCCAUUUGACCAUCUCAGGUCUCAAAAUAGCAUCAAAAUGCACACUAAUCAUUUAUUAAUAUAAAUAACUAAAACUAAAUAAAAACACAACAAAGAUAUCUAAAUUGCUCGAAAAUAAGCUUUUAAGUGUGAUGGAGAGCCUAAUUUGACAUAUCAAUUUACAGCAUGUCAUAAAUAUAAUUUGCGGAACCUUGUUAAAAUUUUGGGUUUCUUUAUUAGUUUUCUUUCAAUAUUCUGUAUGGUACAUUUGUAUUAAUAUAUUGUGCAGAUCAUAGACUAAAUUGCUUUAUUAGUUUUCUAUUGUUAAUCUCACUUUUUAUUAAUUAAGGAAUACGAAUUAGAAUUAAUAUGAAAUUACUAUUUCAACAUUUCAUAAGAAAAAGCUAAAAUAAUAUUUGUCAUAUCCCAUAUGCUCAUAUAUAGCUUGUCGAAACCAUUUUCUUGUAAAAGGGGGGUUGACUUUGGUUUUAAAACGAAAAUUGGAGUCGUCACCGAUUAUUUUUAUGAGGUGUAAUCGGGUCACCUCGUAACGGUUUAAUUUAUAACAAUUUUGGUCUACGAAAUUUAGAAGAAAAAAAGGGGUUCGGGAGUCGGUUACGUACGAGGAAGGAUUAGCACCCUCAUAAUGUCCAAAAUUGGUACCUAAUUGAUUACUUAAUGUCUUAAUGUCGAAAAUUAAAAAUUCGAAAAGAAUUUAAAAUAAGAUCCCUGUUUAUUAAUGUUAUUUAUUUUAAAAGAAUUUGCUUGAAUAAGUUGCAAUGAAUGUCAAAGACCCUCCCGUCUCGAGAUAACUAGUGUCACGUCCCGUAAGUGAGGAUACGACGCUUGGAAACCUAGAGAAUAAGCCUGGCUUUAACUCUUACUGAGAUUUCGUGUGUUUUGAAAUUUAAAAGGAUAUUUUGUUAUUUAGGUUUAACGAGAAAAUCGAAACCUCGUAAGUUAGGGUACGAUUUUUCUCGAAUUUUCAAAACGCAAAAUUUUUUUUUUGAAUUUAAGUAAAAACUAAUGUAAUAUGUAAUAAGAUAUGUGUUUAAUUUAUUCAAACAUCGCCUGAAAGUGAACAAAUAAUUUUAAAAAAAAUGAUGUAUAAUGCAACAUAUUAACUACUACAACGAAAGUGAAAUGCAAUGAAAGUCAUGAAAUCGAAAGAUUAUCGAGACUAAAUUGAAAGUCAUGAAAGAAGACAUAAACAACACCACCAUACAAAAUGUUACACUCAAACAAACCAUUACAGAUAGUACGAAAUGAAAUGGAAAGACACAGGAAUUGGCACAAUAAUAAAGACAGACACAUACAAAUGCAAACCAUAGGCAAAACGGUCUACAGAACAAGAAAUUGUGAAAAUACAACACUAAUUCUUGAACAGCAUUUGCAGUAAUUAGAUCCUUCUUCGCCUAUUGCUUCGAUUGCCUUUAUUUGACUUUCUUCUUCGCCUCUUCUCUUGUUGGUUUUCAACCAAAUUCACCAACCAUUUUGGCUUUCCAGUUUGGAAAACAACAAAUCCCACGGACAUUCCGAACACCACUCCGCAUCCAUAGCCUAUCAACCCCACUUUCCAACCAAAAGCAAUGUUUGAUUUUGAGCCAUCUUUUUCAAGCACAUUUGGAGGUGCUGGCUUAAUGAUGUUGCAACCUUUAGAGACCGGAAAUCCACAUAGUCCCUUAUUUCCUUCAUAUGAAUCAUUUCCAAAUGUGUUGAACUGUUUGCCUUGAGGAAUCUGACCAUGGAGUUGAUUUUCAGAAACAUUGAAGGACGAAAGAAAUGGCAGAUCUACCAAUCUAUUUGGAAUCCUCCCAGACAAACUGUUUGAAGAUAGGUCCAACCAUUCAAGACUUGUCAAAUUCCCUAUUGAGGUGGGGAUACCACCAUUAAGGUUAUUAUGAGAAAGGUUGAGCCCUUUCAGUAAGUUAAGCUUCCCAAAAACCUCUGGAAUACACCCUUCAAACUGAUUGUUUGAUAGAUCAAUGAUCAUCCACAUGGUGAAAAUUUUCACCAAUUCCAUAUAUUGUCCUUUCAUAACAAUUCCGAUGGAAUAGGUAUAGAAGCCGCGACCUCCAGGAUCAUUCACCCCCAUGUACGACUCUAUAAUACCAAUCUUCUCUAGAUUUAUGAUAGCCUUGAAGCUGUUGAUGUAUCUCACUGGUAGGGGUCCAGAAAAAUAAUUACUUGAGAGGUCAAAAAUUUGGACUUUAGAGAAAAAAGGGCUAGACUUGGAGCUAUUGACACAUAAGGAACCACGCAUAUGAUUUGACUUCAAUACAAGAACUUGUAGCUGUGGAAGACUUCCCAACCAAUGAGGAAAUGUAUCAUUGAUCUUGUUGUUACCAAGAUCUAGCACUUCCAGACCAUUACAAUUAAGGAUGGAUGGUGUCAAAGGCCCUUCUAACAGAUUUCCAUUUAAGUUGAAAUUACUCAAUCGGCAUCCCUUUGCAAAUGUUGGAGGAAUCGUCCCAUAGAACUUGUUCUUCUUCAAAUUCAAGAAUUCGAGGCUGUUGCUCAAAUUUCCAAAACAUUGCGGAAUUGUUCCACUCAAGUUAUUGUGGGACAAAUCAAGAAUUCGAAGAGAAGUGACAUUGCAGAUUACAGAAGAGACCUCUCCAUUGAAACUAUUAUUUGAGAUCAGAAAGACAUCGAUCGUGGAAGCUGGAAUCGGAAGAUUUCCACGGAUCAAAUUGGAGCUUAAGUCAAGAACUGCAAUAUUCUUCCACGGGAAGUGCUCAACUUCUGUCAAAGAGUUGUGAGAUACAUUUAAGUAAGUCAAAGAGCCAUUCCCCACCUCUUGCAUCCACUGUGGAAUCUUGCCUUCAAUUUUGUUGCAAGAGAGGUCUAAGCUUUCCAAACUUUUAAGCCCUUUCAAAAAUUGGGGGAAUUCACUAAGAUUGCAAGAUGACAAAAAUAACCUUGUAAGAUUAAUAGUAGAAGUAGUGUUAGAUGUUAAGGAUAGGCUGUUAUAUGAAAGGUCGAGAUAUUUGAGAUUUGGAAGGUUUGAGAACAUGCUAAACUCUAUGACACCACUAAGAGUAUUUGAGGAUAAGCUGAGGCCGGUAAGAUUGAGAAGUUGGGAUAUUGAAGAUGGAAGAGGACCUUGGAGUUUAUUAUUCUCUAAGCGUAUCAAUUCUAGUGAUUUGGAUUGAAAUUCUUUGAUAUGCCCACUGAAUUGAUUUUGAGAGAGAUCUAUUGUCUUUAAGGAGGGAGCAGCAUAUAACCAUGACGGAAGUGUUCCAUUGAGUAAAUUGUCAGAUAAGGCUAAAGAUAUUAGAUUAGGAAAAGCGGUUACGUCAUCUGGAAUGGAACCUUCUAAACAAUUAUUAGAUAUUUCCAAGUAUUCCAGCUGCGUUAGGUUUAGAAUUGACAAUGGAAUUUGUCCACUCAAUUUGUUCCCUGACAAGUCUAAAUAAGUGAGUUGCAAGAGGUUCCCCAAUGAUAUUGGAACCGGUCCUGAUAAGUCGGAAAAGGAGAGAUCUAAAAACUUCAAGGACACAAGAUUCCCCAUCAAGUCAGGCAAUCCUCCAAAAUCAUUUGCGCCUGAAAUUAUCAAUUGCUCCAAAGAUGAUAAAUUUGUGAUUGAGACAGACAAUCCUUGAAAGAAAAAAUUUCCUGAUAGAUCUAAGUACUUUAAGGCCUGUAGAUUAUCAACUGAAUCAAUGAAUUCUGUAGUGGGGGACAUCCACGACAGAUCCAAAUGUUCAAGAUUGUUGCUCCGAUUCAACUUCAAAGGAUCAAGAUUGAGGACUGGGUUGCCUCCCAAGUUGAGGAGAUUGAGGUUUGGCAAUUCAAAAAUGUUUUUUGGGAAUUUUCCUUGCAAAUCACAAUAAGCAAGACUGAGAGACCUUAGAGAAGAGGAUAGAUUCAUGAAGACAUGAGCAUUAACAGAAGACAUGUCCAUUCCAUCCAAAAACAGAUGUCUGACCUCGGAUAGGUUGUGAACAAGUCCCUUCAGAUCAUGUUUGUCAAUUGUAAAUUGCUCAUGGACAUAAAUCAAAGCGGAGAGAUCAAGUGAAACCAAUUUUGACAGGCGGGAGACUUGGGAUGGGACUUCUCCUGCAAACCCUGUACGAGAAAGGUUGAGGUAUAAUAGGCUUGUAAACCGACCGAACUCGGAUGGAAUUCUGGAAAGAUUAAAAUCAUUGUAGGCAAGGUUGAGUUUUUGAAGGUGAGGAAGAAGAAAGAGAGUGGUAUUGGAAGGGAAGUUGCCAUAUAGCCAACUGCAGCUCAAGUCAAGGGCAAUAACAUGAGCAUUUAGGUGGUCACAAGUGACCCCAUCCCAUGAGCAGCAAUCUGUACCCUCCUUCCAUGAAUUUGUCUUGGGAUAAGAUUUAAGGCCAGCAAUCUCAUCGCAAUAGAAAAAAGCAUCCUCUGUCUGAGUGAUGGAAAAAGAAUUCUUGAACUGGAUUAGUGAAGCAGCUUCAGGGUGAGAGCAGGAGUGAGAUCCUGAAGAAGAAGCAUAAAGAUGGGGAAAGAAAAGGAAUAGGCAGAGAAAGAGAUAGGAGGCCAUGUUAUGUCUGUAAAGGAAGAAGAAGGAUAGGAAUGGUAUUUAUAGGCAACAAAUAAUACCACAACAUUGGUGUUACAGUCUUUUUUUUCUUUUACAUUGAAAAGCUAUGGAGAUUAGAUUAUCAAAAUUUUUGCAUUUUUCACAAUCAUCAACAACCACUUAGUCUUCUUUUUACCAUAUAUUUUUCAUUCUUAAAAUUAGAUGCUUGUUUUUUAGCAAAAUCUUGUAUUUCAUUUGAACUCCCUAAACAACUAAAAAAAUUAAGAUUGAUGAGAUUACAAAGUAGAUUGACUUAGUCUUCUUUCCUAUAACACUUAAAGAAUGUCUUGUCAACCAAAAGAAAUGUUUAAUUUUGAGCCAUCUUUUUCAAGCACAUUUGGAGGUGCUGGCUCACUGAUGUUGCAACCUUUCGAGACCGGAAAUCCACAUAGUCCCUUAUUUCCUUCAUACGAAUCAUUUCCAAAUGUGUUGAAUUGUUUGCCUUGAGGAAUCUGACCAUGGAAUUGAUUUUCUGAAACAUUUAAGGACGAAAGGAAUGGCAGAUCUGCCAAUCUUUUUGGAAUCGUCCCAGACAACCUGUUUGAAGAUAGGUCCGACCAUUCAAGACUUGUCAAAUCCCCUACUGAGGUAGGGAUACCACCAUUAAGGUUAUUAUGAGAAAGGUUGAGCCCUUUCAGUAAGUUAAGCUUCCCAAUAACCUUUGGAACUCCCCUUCA